Molecule: long non-coding RNA, 204 nt
Filed under: Gossypium barbadense (sea-island cotton)
Lineage: Eukaryota; Viridiplantae; Streptophyta; Magnoliopsida; Malvales; Malvaceae
Description: long non-coding RNA (GBAR_LNC012357)
Source: RNAcentral
GUGUGUCUUGUCCAUGUGAAACCUGCACCGAAUUUCGAGAGAAUUUAAUUAACCACAAGGCCUAGCACACGGGUGUGUGGCAUGGUCGUGUGCACAAGUCAAUGAGUAACACGAGGUCGAACACGACUUGUAGCAUGGGCAUGUCCCAAGGUCACGCGGGCGUGUCCCUUGGACCACACGGGCGUGUGUGCCUGUAACUUGGAA